This 106-nucleotide small nuclear RNA is filed under the name Castor canadensis (American beaver). The record is from RNAcentral. Lineage: Eukaryota; Metazoa; Chordata; Mammalia; Rodentia; Castoridae.
GCACUUCCUUCAACAAUACAUAUAAUGAAAUCAGAAUGAUACAGAGAAAUUAACAUAGCACCUGUGCAAGGAUGACAAAAAAAUUUGUGAUUUGAUCCAUAAAAAU